RNAcentral lists this ribosomal RNA (18 nucleotides) under Borreliella burgdorferi (Lyme disease spirochete). RNAcentral's name for it is "partial 23S ribosomal RNA". Lineage: Bacteria; Pseudomonadati; Spirochaetota; Spirochaetia; Spirochaetales; Borreliaceae. The record is from RNAcentral.
UCUUAUUACUUUGACCAU